GUGAAUCAUCGAAUUUUUGAACGCAAAUUGCACUCUCUGGUAUUCCGGAGAGUAUACCUGUUUGAGGGUCAGUUUAAAUAAAAAUCGGUGUGGUUGCUGCCUUUCGUGGUGACGCACCGGUCUUGGAUCGUCUUGCCUUCGGUUAAGUGUCCUAAAAUUUUGCAUGCUUUUUUUCGAACGUCUUUUAAUGAUUUUACGUACGUUUCCCUUGUCGUAUAUUAGGUUUGGUAAUCCUCAUG
RNAcentral lists this unclassified non-coding RNA (239 nucleotides) under Glomus sp. Its description in RNAcentral is "partial contains 5.8S ribosomal RNA and internal transcribed spacer 2". The stretch from base 1 to 71 matches the Rfam family "5.8S ribosomal RNA", at positions 84 to 154 of the family's 154-position model. The record is from RNAcentral. Lineage: Eukaryota; Fungi; Glomeromycota; Glomeromycetes; Glomerales; Glomeraceae.